GGAGUCGGCCAGGCAACCGCUGUAGCGAGGCUAUGGAGGAAAGUCCGGGCUCCUUCGGACAGGGCGCCAGGUAACGCCUGGGGGGCGCGAGCCCACGGAAAGUGCCACAGAAAAUAUACCGCCGGCUUUAGUCCGGUAAGGGUGAAAUGGUGCGGUAAGAGCGCACCGCGCGACUGGCAACAGUUCGCGGCACGGUAAACCCCGCCCGGAGCAAGACCAAAUAGGGGAGUAGGGCAACGCACAACGCCCCCAAUAGGGGCGUUUGGGCGGCUGCCCGCCGUCGGUUCCGAACGGACUCCCGGGUAGGUUGCUCGAGGUAGCCGGUGACGGCUAUCCCAGAUGAAUGGUUGCCAGCGACAGAACCCGGCUUAUUGCCGGCUCCGGCU
Molecule: RNase P RNA, 386 nt
Filed under: Gammaproteobacteria bacterium
Lineage: Bacteria; Pseudomonadati; Pseudomonadota; Gammaproteobacteria
Also listed under: 1 other name
Description: RNase P RNA component class A
Rfam family: Bacterial RNase P class A
About the family: Ribonuclease P (RNase P) is a ubiquitous endoribonuclease, found in archaea, bacteria and eukarya as well as chloroplasts and mitochondria.
Source: RNAcentral